RNAcentral lists this long non-coding RNA (209 nucleotides) under Homo sapiens (human). Its description in RNAcentral is "LHRI_LNC771.1". The record is from RNAcentral. Lineage: Eukaryota; Metazoa; Chordata; Mammalia; Primates; Hominidae.
CUGCUCAGCGCUACCGCUUCCCCGCAACUGUGCGGAGUGGGAGCCGGUGCCCGGUCCGACCGGCUUGGGCGGCGCGCCUUCACCCGGCGCCAGGUCCGGACCCCUCCCUAGUAGCUUCGCGGCCUCCCUGCCUCCUGUGCGCGGCCUGGCUCGGAGAGGUCGGGCGGGCAGGCUUUCCCGACUGCAGGCGAGGCAGUGCGCGGCUCACC